GGGCCCGUGGGUUAGCUUGGCCUAUACUUGGCGGCUGGGGGUCGUCAGACCCCGGUUCAAAUCCGGGCGGGCCCACCA
This 78-nucleotide transfer RNA is filed under the name Euryarchaeota archaeon TMED132. RNAcentral's name for it is "tRNA-Pro". The record is from RNAcentral. RNAcentral also lists the same sequence under 3 other names. Lineage: Archaea; Methanobacteriati; Methanobacteriota.